GGUUAAUAUUCCUGUACUUGGUGUUACUGCGAAGGGGGGACGGAGAAGGCAAUGUUGGCCGGGCGACGGUUGUCCCGGUUUAAGCGUGUAGGCUGGUUUUCCAGGCAAAUCCGGAAAAUCAAGGCUGAGGCGUGAUGACGAGGCACUACGGUGCUGAAGCAACAAAUGCCCUGCUUCCAGGAAAAGCCUCUAAGCAUCAGGUAACAUCAAAUCGUACCCCAAACCGACACAGGUGGUCAGGUAGAGAAUACCAAGGCGCUUGAGAGAACUCGGGUGAAGGAACUAGGCAAAAUGGUGCCGUAACUUCGGGAGAAGGCACGCUGAUAUGUAGGUGAAGCGACUUGCUCGUGGAGCUGAAAUCAGUCGAAGAUACCAGCUGGCUGCAACUGUUUAUUAAAAACACAGCACUGUGCAAACACGAAAGUGGACGUAUACGGUGUGACGCCUCCCCGGUGCCGGAAGGUUAAUUGAUGGGGUUAGCCGCAAGGCGAAGCUCUUGAUCGAAGCCCCGGUAAACGGCGGCCGUAACAAUAACGGUCCUAAGGUAGCGAGAUUCCUUGUCGGGUAAGUUCCGACCUGCACGAAUGGCGUAAUGAUGGCCAGGCUGUCUCCACCCGAGACUCAGUGAAAUUGAACUCGCUGUGAAGAUGCAGUGUACCCGCGGCAAGACGGAAAGACCCCGUGAACCUUUACUAUAGCUUGACACUGAACAUUGAGCCUUGAUGUGUAGGAUAGGUGGGAGGCUUUGAAGUGUGGACGCCAGUCUGCAUGGAGCCGACCUUGAAAUACCACCCUUUAAUGUUUGAUGUUCUAACGUUGACCCGUAAUCCGGGUUGCGGACAGUGUCUGGUGGGUAGUUUGACUGGGGCGGUCUCCUCCUAAAGAGUAACGGAGGAGCACGAAGGUUGGCUAAUCCUGGUCGGACAUCAGGAGGUUAGUGCAAUGGCAUAAGCCAGCUUGACUGCGAGCGUGACGGCGCGAGCAGGUGCGAAAGCAGGUCAUAGUGAUCCGGUGGUUCUGAAUGGAAGGGCCAUCGCUCAACGGAUAAAAGGUACUCCGGGGAUAACAGGCUGAUACCGCCCAAGAGUUCAUAUCGACGGCGGUGUUUGGCACCUCGAUGUCGGCUCAUCACAUCCUGGGGCUGAAGUAGGUCCCAAGGGUAUGGCUGUUCGCCAUUUAAAGUGGUACGCGAGCUGGGUUUAGAACGUCGUGAGACAGUUCGGUCCCUAUCUGCCGUGGGCGCUGGAGAACUGAGGGGGGCUGCUCCUAGUACGAGAGGACCGGAGUGGACGCAUCACUGGUGUUCGGGUUGUCAUGCCAAUGGCACUGCCCGGUAGCUAAAUGCGGAAGAGAUAAGUGCUGAAAGCAUCUAAGCACGAAACUUGCCCCGAGAUGAGUUCUCCCUGACUCCUUGAGAGUCCUGAAGGAACGUUGAAGACGACGACGUUGAUAGGCCGGGUGUGUAAGCGCAGCGAUGCGUUGAGCUAA
RNAcentral lists this ribosomal RNA (1488 nucleotides) under metagenome. RNAcentral describes it as "bacterial LSU rRNA". It matches the Rfam family "Bacterial large subunit ribosomal RNA", at positions 1428 to 2894 of the family's 2925-position model. The record is from RNAcentral.